This 253-nucleotide ribosomal RNA is filed under the name uncultured bacterium. Its description in RNAcentral is "partial 16S ribosomal RNA". It matches the Rfam family "Bacterial small subunit ribosomal RNA", at positions 524 to 776 of the family's 1533-position model. The record is from RNAcentral.
UACGAAGGGGGCUAGCGUUGUUCGGAUUUACUGGGCGUAAAGCGUGCGCAGGCGGCGGCUCAAGUCAGGUGUGAAAUCCCCGGGCUUAACCUGGGAAUUGCGCUUGAAACUAGGUCGCUAGAGUGUGGCAGAGGGGGGUGGAAUUCCACGUGUAGCAGUGAAAUGCGUAGAGAUGUGGAGGAACACCGAUGGCGAAGGCAGCCCCCUGGGUCAACACUGACGCUCAUGCACGAAAGCGUGGGGAGCAAACAGG